CGCCUGGGGAGUACGGCCGCAAGGUUAAAACUCAAAUGAAUUGACGGGGGCCCGCACAAGCGGUGGAGCAUGUGGUUUAAUUCGACGCAACGCGAAGAACCUUACCUGGCCUUGACAUGCAGAGAACUUUCCAGAGAUGGAUUGGUGCCUUCGGGAACUCUGACACAGGUGCUGCAUGGCCGUCGUCAGCUCGUGUCGUGAGAUGUUGGGUUAAGUCCCGUAACGAGCGCAACCCCUAUCCCUAGUUGCUAGCAGUUCGGCUGAGAACUCUAGGGAGACUGCCGGUGACAAACCGGAGGAAGGUGGGGAUGACGUCAGGUCAUCAUGGCCCUUACGGCCAGGGCUACACACGUGCUACAAUGGUGCGCACAGAGGGCUGCAAACCCGCGAGGGGGAGCCAAUCUCACAAAACGCAUCGUAGUCCGGAUCGCAGUCUGCAACUCGACUGCGUGAAGUCGGAAUCGCUAGUAAUCGUGAAUCAGAAUGUCACGGUGAAUACGUUCCCGGGCCUUGUACACACCGCCCGUCACACCAUGGGAGUGGAUUGCACCAGAAGUGGUUAGUCUAACCUUCGGGAGGACGAUCACCACGGUGUGGUUCAUGACUGGGGUGAAGUCGUAACAAGGUAACCGUA
RNAcentral lists this ribosomal RNA (634 nucleotides) under uncultured Marinobacter sp. RNAcentral's name for it is "bacterial SSU rRNA". It matches the Rfam family "Bacterial small subunit ribosomal RNA", at positions 870 to 1504 of the family's 1533-position model. Lineage: Bacteria; Pseudomonadati; Pseudomonadota; Gammaproteobacteria; Pseudomonadales; Marinobacteraceae. The record is from RNAcentral.